GCUUUGACACAAUCUACAUUAUGAAAGCGCUAUAGAAAUAAACAUAAAUUCAAUUGAAUUGUAACAGUAGAUGGAAGUGGGAACAGUGUUGAGUUUCCAAUAGCAGUUUAUUAAGACUGUCACCGGUUCGGUCCCAGCAUGUCCCUUCACCAACCAGCAGAGGCCCUCAUCUCAUACUGUGUUUACAAUAAAGCUCGCACAUGGGUCCACAUCCCUCUGAGUCAUCAUUACAAAGACAAUCAUCUAGCAAGCAAAGGCCGAAACCGGAACAAACAGGUGCAUACAGACAAACCGAAGUGUGGUGAAUAGACGGUCAGUACAGGUGGCAAACAACGUAAACCAAGAAACAAAGCAAAGGGUCAAACACGGCAAGUGUCUGCAACCGUUCUUUGCCGGGCUUGAACCUUGUCAUCAUGAUCAACUCCUCUCAGUAUCCACCAACGUACAUGGCAAGCUACUGGACAAACUGGUUACAGAGGGAAAGCUCUCCACAUGGGGGCAUCUGUGACAGGCCUAUACAUCCACUAACAGGACACCUGUGGAGCGACAGAUAACAUGGAGGGAAUCCAAUAACGGUGGUGGGCCGGUGCUGUGCCUGAGGGGAUACAUAUCCUGAGGCUUCUAGAGAUUGUGUAGUGGCAUUGAUAUGAUCCAAGACCUGGGAAGAGAUGAUGCCAUAGUAUCCAUAAUCCUGGACCAGGCCGUAUCUUAAGCUGAUGCUGUGGCAGUCACGGAGGAGUGGAGAGCAUGAGACUGAUUCCUGAAAGACCGCAGUGACAGACGAGUCCUUGCAUUGAUCCCAUGGGCCAUGCCUGAUCACCCGACAGUGACCUACCCACACCUGCAGCUUCUCCAGGAUGGACGUCCAGGGUUUUCCAGUCUCCGCUGCCUAGACUGCAGCUCUGCACAAGAAGUUUGGCGAGAGGAGAAAUGGUUGUGCCCAACUGAGCCUGGUUUCUCCCCUAGAAUUGUUUUCUUUCACUUUCAUCCAUUGGUGAAUUUUUGUUUCUCGCCACUGGCUUGCUUGGUUUGGGAAUGCACAUCAAGGGUUUUGCUCUUUAGUGCUUGGACUUUCAGCAGUGAAAACACUAAACUACAAUACACUAAACUGAACUUCAACUCUGAAAACUGUACUGAGACAGUUUCGAUUUACUAGACCUUCUAUGUUAAGCUGCUUUGACACAAUCUACAUUGUAAAAGUGCUAUAGAAAUAAAGAUGAAUUGAAUUGAAGCUGUCAUUGUAAUAUUAUGUAGUGUUUUGACUGGUAUACAAAAAUGGUGCAUUUUAUUCCCCCUGUUUGAUGCUGUACUGUUGUUAUAGAUACACUUACAAAAGAGUAAAAAAGUGGUUACUCUUUUCUACAGUUCACUCUUUUGGUGCUUCUAUCGUAGCAGAAAUACAGCCUUUAAUGCAGUUUUACAUCAUGCAAGCUAAUUUGUUUAGUCUAUCUAUAAGAAUGCCAGAAUAUACUAAAGAUGAGUGAGGUCAAAUGUGGCAAAAUUUAAAGCAACAGUCAAGUAAAAUUAGAACGUUUCAUUAAAAUAUGCCACUGUGCUUUUAAAGUAAAGCACCUUAAACAAAAUUCGAAAUAUUUGAAAUCUAAUAUUUUAUAUUGUUUAUCUCCGUAUGAUAGAAUGAAACAUAAUGAGAUCAGUCAAACCAUUACAAUCAGAAAUCCAUUUUAUAAAAUCUUCUGGCCACUAUGUCAUAACA
Danio rerio (zebrafish) is the source of this 1714-nucleotide non-coding RNA. Lineage: Eukaryota; Metazoa; Chordata; Actinopteri; Cypriniformes; Danionidae. The record is from RefSeq and is a predicted model, not a curated record.